This 426-nucleotide ribosomal RNA is filed under the name uncultured bacterium. Its description in RNAcentral is "bacterial SSU rRNA". It matches the Rfam family "Bacterial small subunit ribosomal RNA", at positions 355 to 772 of the family's 1533-position model. The record is from RNAcentral.
UGGGGAAUAUUGGGCAAUGGGCGCAAGCCUGACCCAGCCAUGCCGCGUGAGUGAUGAAGGCCUUCGGGUCGUAAAGCUCUGUGGGGAGGGAAGAACAAGCAGACAGCUAAUACCUGUCGGCCCUGACGGUACCUCCUUAGCAAGCACCGGCUAACUCCGUGCCAGCAGCCGCGGUAAUACGGAGGGUGCAAACGUUGCUCGGAAUUAUUGGGCGUAAAGCGCACGUAGGCGGCCGAAUAAGUCGUGUGUGAAAGCCCAGGGCUUAACCCUGGAAGUGCACUCGAAACUGCUCGGCUUGAAUAUGGAAGAGGGUCGCGGAAUUCCCGGUGUAGAGGUGAAAUUCGUAGAUAUCGGGAGGAACACCAGUGGCGAAGGCGGCGACCUGGGCCAAUAUUGACGCUGAGGUGCGAAAGCGUGGGGAGCAAA